Molecule: small nuclear RNA, 104 nt
Filed under: Castor canadensis (American beaver)
Lineage: Eukaryota; Metazoa; Chordata; Mammalia; Rodentia; Castoridae
Source: RNAcentral
GUACUUGCUUCAACAACAUAUAUACUAAAAUUGGAACGAUACAGAGAUUAGCAUGGCCCCUGCACAAGGAUGACAAGCAAAUUCAUGAAGUGUUCCAUAAAAAA